UACGUAGGGCGCGAGCGUUGUCCGGAAUUAUUGGGCGUAAAGAGCUCGUAGGCGGCCUGUUGCGUCUGCUGUGAAAUCCCGGGGCUUAACCCCGGGCGUGCAGUGGAUACGGGCAGGCUGGAGGCAGGCAGGGGAGAAUGGAAUUCCCGGUGUAGCGGUGAAAUGCGCAGAUAUCGGGAGGAACACCGGUGGCGAAGGCGGUUCUCUGGGCUUGUUCUGACGCUGAGGAGCGAAAGCGUGGGGAGCGAACAGG
This 253-nucleotide ribosomal RNA is filed under the name uncultured bacterium. Its description in RNAcentral is "partial 16S ribosomal RNA". It matches the Rfam family "Bacterial small subunit ribosomal RNA", at positions 524 to 776 of the family's 1533-position model. The record is from RNAcentral.